Molecule: long non-coding RNA, 2057 nt
Organism: Piliocolobus tephrosceles (Ugandan red Colobus)
Lineage: Eukaryota; Metazoa; Chordata; Mammalia; Primates; Cercopithecidae
Exons: 4
Source: RefSeq, a predicted model, not a curated record
UGAACAUUGUCUCCGAAAAGUAGACGAGAGAGAGAGAAAGAGAGAGAAAGAAAGAGAGAGAGAGAGAGAAAUGUCACAGGGCCAACCUGACAGCUCUUGUGUUUUUGAUGGAGUGUUGGCCCUGGAACUCUUACAGGGUAUGAAUUUGCAACAAGACUGGCUAUCCCAACAAGGGCUAUGGAGUGGCAGAAAAUGUCCCUGCCAAAAAUAGAGACCUGGGUGCAAUCCCUGGUUUGAUGAUCUCCAAUCCCUCCCGUCUAUUGGAGAUUCCUGGGCAAGUAACUGAACUCUUUCCAUUUGUGCCAGCUCAUCACGGGGUCUUGCGAGAGCAUUAAGUGACACAUGAACAAGGAGCAUCUUUGCAAAUACACCAUUCUCUGCUACUACAGAAAGAUGCACUAAAGCAUAGAAAUGGAAAUAUCAUCUUUGAAGGCAAGCAAGUCAUUCUGCUUGAAUGAGAAUGGUGUGUGUGGUGGUGUCUUCAGCUCCAAACUGAAAGCUGUGAACCCUCCUCAGAGCAGAAAGGCCACCAUUGCUUCCCAUAUGUGUGUAUUUUAGGAAGGGGUGAUGAUUAAGUCUUAGACACCAUUUGUGUCACUACCAAAAGAAAAAGACUAAACGGAUGUUCUCUGGGCCCUUUCCAAGCCCUGGCUGCAGUUUGUUCAUCAGUGUCUUCGGAACUGUCUUCCUGACCCUUCACUCUUGCAGAAGAGAGAGACAGGAUCUUAUUAUGUUGCCCAGGCUGGCCUCGAACUUCUGGGCUCAAGUGAUCCUCCAGGCUUAGCUUCCCAAGUAGCUGGAACUAGAGGUGUGCAUCAUCCUGCCUGACUCAAGACUUCCAUUUCUGAAACACCUGUUGUCUCCAGAACUGAACACAGUGCCUGGCACAAAAUCAACGGAAUUGGAAACUUGAACACUGGAAACCAAGGCCUGCAGUUUUCACAAUCUUCCCCACGUGAUGCUUGUGCAUGCUCAAGUUUGAGAACAACUGAUCCACAUGAUGUGACUUUUUUUUUCCUUAUGGUCUCCUCAUCUAACAAAUCAACAGGAGUGUAUUGAUGCUGGACAGUCAUUCACUGGUCCACUCAAGCAACAUUGACUGAGUGUCAGGUAUAGAGGUAACUGCACUGAAGAAAAUAUUCAAGGUGCCUACAGUUUCCCAGGAAACCCAUCUGUCAAAGUUGUUUGCCCUGAAAAGAGAGAGGUCUUGUUUGACUUUGUUCAGAUGAAAAAGGUAAAAGUAGCAUUGUGCUUCCUGACCAACAAUCAGAGAUGUUAAUAUUUCUGAGCUAAGCUGUUGAACAUGGUUACUUCUCAGAGGGUGGGUUUGUUUGGGAGGGGGAAGUGAAAUAAACUUGAUUGCACCACCCCAGUUUUUGUUAAGCCCUCUCUCCUGUCCACUCUCCACCCCCGAGGCUCUCAGCCAGGCGCUCAGUGCAGAGCCUAGUACCCUGGCUGUUGCUUCCUCUCCAGCAGACUCAGCUUCUUUCCUGGCAUCUACCUUGGUGGGAGCUGAAGCAUGAAGAACUAUAGAUCCCAUGCCCUCGCCCCACAUGACCAGAUCCCUUGGAGAGUCUGCUUCUGCCUUCCCUCCCAGACUUCAGUGAUGUUCAAGGAUCUCGCUUGCUCAAAGCCUACAGGCUCUGGGAUGCCCACAUGGGGCAAACUGGCCAAUAAAGAACAAGACAGCUGUUGGAGGAUAUGAUCUUACCAAAUGAGAGAUUAAACCAAGAAACAAGAAGUCACAGGAUCUAGAACACACAGGCUCAAAAAUAAGAACUACACGACCUCUCUUAAGUACUGAAUGAAAGAACAGAUGAAUUAAAAAUGCUUUGAAAAAGUGUUUGAUAGCAAACAUCCUUACACUGACUAGCCUGCAGAGCAGAGCCUUAAAGAACAAAUAAUCUUACAUGAAUUUAGUGCUGACUGCAACAAGAUUACCAGCAUUUCCUUAUCAGUCUUUCAGCUAAGCAUAGAAUUUUAGUUUGGGGCCAGGCACAGUGGCUCACACCUAUAAUCCUAGCACUUUGGGAGGCCGAGGUGGGCGGAUCACCUGA